RNAcentral lists this ribosomal RNA (468 nucleotides) under uncultured bacterium. RNAcentral describes it as "partial 16S ribosomal RNA". It matches the Rfam family "Bacterial small subunit ribosomal RNA", at positions 28 to 507 of the family's 1533-position model. The record is from RNAcentral.
GACGAACGCUGGCGGCGUGCUUAACACAUGCAAGUCGAACGGAAAGGCCCUGCUUUUGUGGGGUGCUCGAGUGGCGAACGGGUGAGUAACACGUGAGUAACCUGCCCUUGACUUUGGGAUAACUUCAGGAAACUGGGGCUAAUACCGGAUAGGAGCUCCUGCUGCAUUGUGGGGGUUGGAAAGUUUCGGCGGUUGGGGAUGGACUCGCGGCUUAUCAGCUUGUUGGUGGGGUAGUGGCUUACCAAGGCUUUGACGGGUAGCCGGCCUGAGAGGGUGACCGGCCACAUUGGGACUGAGAUACGGCCCAGACUCCUACGGGAGGCAGCAGUGGGGAAUAUUGCACAAUGGGCGGAAGCCUGAUGCAGCAACGCCGCGUGCGGGAUGACGGCCUUCGGGUUGUAAACCGCUUUCGCCUGUGACGAAGCGUGAGUGACGGUAAUGGGUAAAGAAGCACCGACUAACUACGUG